AGUAGGGUAGGGAGUACUCUUGCAUUCUCCAUUUUUUUUCCCAAGCUCGCCGUGAAGACCAAUUACAGCUAGGGAAGGAGUCGAUCGGUACACUUGUCCGCUUGUGGUCGCCGGCUGGCUGGCCGCCGCCAUGCCAUGGGAAGACGGCUACAGCCUACAGCGACAGCAAGCCAACUGCAGUAUAUUCCCGGUUGUUGCUGAAGCUGCCGUCGGGCGACGGUGACCACUCACCACCUAGCUGCAGUUGCAAAAUUGUGAAAGGCUCCACGAGCGUCUCAUUCAUCUGCCAGUCAUGGCGCCCUCUGACGCCGUCUCUGGCUCACUGCAGCCUGCAGGCGCCCGACGUCUCCACGCCACGGUCCACGGGAGGCGCCAAGGCGGCAGGCCAAUCCAUGAAACAAAAAUGUUGAGGAAGAAAUGUGUUGUAAGGAGUCCUUGAGUGUAAAUGUAAAAUUAGUUAGAGGAUGGAAAUGUAAAAUUAUAUGUAAAUAUUAAAGGGAACAAAGAGGAGAAGAACAGAGAUGGUUUGGCUCCUUUCUAGAGUAGUCCUGUACAAUACUGAUGUCCAGGAAAUGGAACUAGAUGCUUGUGAGUGAUUUUAGGAUCUUUUUCUCAAUAUAAUCGUGGAUUUCAUCA
This is a long non-coding RNA of Lolium perenne, 636 nucleotides long. RefSeq lists it as uncharacterized. Lineage: Eukaryota; Viridiplantae; Streptophyta; Magnoliopsida; Poales; Poaceae. The record is from RefSeq and is a predicted model, not a curated record.